This 4174-nucleotide long non-coding RNA is filed under the name Homo sapiens (human). RNAcentral describes it as "non-protein coding lnc-CHSY1-5:19". Lineage: Eukaryota; Metazoa; Chordata; Mammalia; Primates; Hominidae. The record is from RNAcentral.
AGAGCGCGCAGAGCAAGGCCGCCGCCAGCUCUCCCAGGAACCGUCGCGAGGCGUCCCCUCGGCGGCCGCCUCAGUUUCCCUGGCCGUAAAACGCGGGCGAUGGCGCUCGAUGCCCCGGGAGACGCCGGGGUCCGCGGGCCCUUCCGGCACCGGGUCCUCCUUCAGGUUCGGGCACCCGGCUGCCUCCACGCGGGGCGAGCGCGGCGAUGGGAUCGGUCCGUGCUGCGCUCAGCCCCGCUUUCGCUAUCCCUCUGCUCCAGGGGCAGCAAAAUCAGCAGAUGAGCCCCCAGCGCGCCUGCGGCCCACACACUGCGGCCGUAACAGUUAAACAGACGGGGAACAUUCAUGUGCGUAGAGCUCUUCACGGGGCGAUACAGAAAUGUGUCGUUCUAAAGCGUUAACGACCUGCAAUUUGCAUAUCCUCCAACACAUGGAUUUUACUGAUUCAAUUAUGGAUGUGUGCAAAGAAUCUGCUGCUCGGUGAGUCAUUGUUAAUUGUCGGCUUUGGGGGGAAUACAUAAAACGUGGAAUAUUGGCAAUUUAUCGUGUUUCGACCUUUUAUAAAGGCGUCACCAGGCUGCUGAGGCUAAUACAGAAACGCAGACCAUAAAAAAGAUCUGCGUCCACGCUGCAGGCGGGCCUCACGCUGAGCUCCCCGUGUCGACCCGGGGACAAAGCCUGCUCAGGAAGAGCAGAGGGUUCCACGCCCUGCAGGACCAGCGCCCUGGGCCCCUCUCCUGGAAAGUUAUGACUCGCACGUUCCCAGGAUUUAGCGCACAUCUCCCCCACCCUCACUGCCAUUUCACAGAACCGGGGCAGCCGCAGGGCUCCUGCAGGACCUCCCGGACGCCGCGGGGCCGUGUUCCCUUGAGCGGCUUCUUGGGUCCCUGGUUGGAGAGGGGACCACCGAGCAGCUUCGCUCUGCUCCUGGGAGGCUACUUCUGCCACUGGACGACUUUCCAAAAGGGUGAGCGCAGUUCUGCAAUCCUGUUCUCACCCCUGAGGGCCUCACACCAGUUUGCAGGAGCCAGCAGUGUGAUUGCCACCGACAAGUUCCCAACAAUUUGCAGGGCGUGGUGUCCUCAGUGCUGAGAGAGCCCCGCGACGGCGGUGCAGCUCCUCCAGGGCGCGCAGCCCCGCCACCUGGCGCCACCGCGAGGGAGCGCAGGCCCAGGGCCCGGGCAGACGCUGGAGGGGACGCGGCAGGUGAAGAUGGGGCACCUCCACUUCCCUUCUAAAGGAGCCUGGGAAUAGGCUAGGAAAUGUCCCCACUGUAGAAGACAGCAGGAACAUCUGACACGCGGAUAACCUGUGCUGAGCUCGUUAUAUUCCCAGCAUUUAAUUCUAGCCAUUAGGCAUGCGUUAGCCACAACUUCGCAUAGGAAGGUUAUUGCAGCUAUAUGGGAACACUUUCAGUUUCCCAAGUUAAAACAUGAAAUUGCACAUCAUCAUUUGGAUCCCCAAAGAGGAAAAGAAAAAUUCACAACCUGCCAGUGAAAUACUCAGGCCACUUGGAUGAAGACCGAGGUCCUCCAUAGAAUCCAGGUGUUAUUUACUAACUAAUCAGAAAUUAAUAUCAAAAUAGGACUUAAAAAUAACAAGGCUGUGUUAUUACAGCAGUCUUUCCAGUUGUGUACGCUUUACUAAUCUAAAUUGGGUAACAGAACUGGAGAAAAGGAAGACUACACAGACUUAUCAUAAGCUGUUAGUGAACGUGAUAGAAAUGCGUAAUUUGUUAAAGCGAAUUACAGCUCUGAUUUGUCAAAUGAGGAGGUGAAUUAUCCUAGGAUUUGCUAUGCUGUUGUGGCGUUAGAAGAUUGGAUCUUUAGCAGCAAAGGUAACCUCAACAAUAUUUUCUGCUUAAGAAAGUGCCUUGGUUAAGGUAGACCGUGAUAUCGUCUUUGACUAAGCUCUCUGGGCUAUUGAUUCUGUCAUAUUCCAAAGGCAGUAUUGGUUUGAAGCCGAAUCUCACGGUCAAUGUCAACAUGCAAUCCACAAAGACCCUGGCGCCCUUCCACGGUAUGCACUAACCAAAACUUUCUCACUGUGAAAUCCUUUUUUUAAAAACAAGAAAACAAAAAACAAAAACCAAAAAACCUUACUGUGAAUCCUUUCCCAAGGAAUGGUCCCACCUUCACCUCGGAAAGAGGCGUGGCUUGCUCUGUAAGCAGGUCCACCCUGAGGAGACCGCUGGUGCAAGAGCCCUGCUUGCAGAACACACAGGGGGUUUUCCCACAUUCUUACUGGAGUCAGAUUCGGCAAAGCAUUUCAAGCAACUGCUGGACACUUCAAAUACCACUCCCUGUUAACAACGCCCUGAGUAUCUCACUGUCUCCAGGAUCUGGUUUAAAGGGAAACACAGAAAUGGCCAACAGCUCCCUCCCCAGGCAGGACUGCGAUUUCACAGACAACCUAUAGGCAUCCCCAGUCUGGUGAAUAAACAGGAGAGUGAGAGGAAAACAGCAAUCAUUCAACUCCAGUAGAUGUAAAGCCUCCAGAAGAAUGUGUCCCGGGAAGGUCAGAAAUGUCAUUUUUUUCCUCCAGCACAUUUCAUCUGCCACAUUCCGCCGUCCGAUGUUUGAGGAAGGAGCCCCGCCUUUCCUUCAGGGGUUCUUGUCGCCAAGUUUGAUGGUGACAGUUUUCACUUCUGUGUAUUCGGCCAAAGCGUAUUCACCUCUGUGAUCACAGAAAAGAGGAAAAUUCAAAAUGGGUACAUCCCUUAGCCAUUGUGUAGAAACUGUUCUGAGGCUUCAUCAUUCCAUCAGGCCGUUGGAGGCUUAUGCAAAAGGUUAAAAUGUGACGACCUCAUGGAAUAAUAGCCAGGACUAUAACAGCACUAGUAAGUGUCAGUAGCUGCAUAUGUGACUUAAAUGUAAAUAUCAAGGUCUUCUUCUGUGUGAUGCUUUUGAAAUGGCCAGGACUAAGGGUUUCCCUUUAGAGAAUGAAGGGGAUUUUAAAAAAAGUAAAGAGGUGAAUUCCCUGGGGUGGCAAUAGAGAGCAAAACGAGAGAGCCUGGUGGACGGUGGGGUGUCUGUGAACGAGGGAGGGGCAGAAAUUACACUGGGUUGAUAACUUUUAGAUGGCAAUUGGGAGCUGCUUGAAGAGGAGACAGAAGAGGCAGAGGCCCAAAGCUAUUGGCUGGGGAUGUGGCCAGAGGACCAGUGGGAAGAACACCAAGGGCCUGAAGCUGGCCUCAGAGUGCACAGCUGGGGACCAGCUGUCAGGCAGUGAGGCCAGCCUAGGGGGCAUGAGAGAAGCAGACGUUAGCACAGAGUGGACAUGGGGAGGCCACAGCUUUUGGGUUCACAUCCUUGGUAUAGUUCCUUUCUUUAAAUCUUGCAGGGCUCAGGUGAUCCUUCCCUGGCACCAUGGGCCGUCUUCAGGGUAGCUUCCCUUCCAAGACCCAAGAGGCAGCUUUGGAGAGAUUUAAAUCCUUCUAAGCGCUUGAUCUGCUGUCAGGUGAAGAAAAAUGUGUGCUUGUUUAGGAAGAGAUGAAGGUAGAGGUGGCCACUGGAGUCUCUGUAGUUAAAAAGACCUGUGACAGAAUCCCAUCUCCUCCCUUAGAUCAAUGGUUCUCAAAGUGUGGUCCCCAGACCAGCAGCAUCAGCCUCACCUCUGAACUUGCUAGAAAUGUAGAUUCUCAGGCCUCCCCCAGCCCUACUAUCGUAGGCAGAAUAAGGAUCUCCCCAGGUAUCCAAAAUUGGAUCCCCCAAACCUGUGAAUAUGUUGGGCUACAGAGUGAAGAAUUAAUGUUGCAGAUGGAAUUCAAGUUACUAAUCAAUUGACUUUAAAAGAGGGAGACUCUCCUGGAUCAUCCAGGCAGACCCAGUGUAAUCACAAGGGUCCCCAAAACUGGCAGAAGAAGAGAGGCAGAGCAAAAUGAGAUUAUAGAAACAGGUUCAGAGAGCAGCAGUGCUGGCUUUGAAGAUGGAGGAUGGGGCCACCAGCCUAGGAAUGCGAGCAGCCUCUAGAGGAUGGAAAAGGCAAGGAAGUAGAUUCUCUCCUGAGAACCUCCAAAAAGGAAUGAAGCCCUUGAUUUUAGCUCAGGGAGACCUGUGUCAGAUUUUUAUCCUACAGAACUAUAAGAUAAUAGAUUUAUGUUAUUUAAGCCACUGAUGUUAUGGUAACUUCUUGCAGGAGCAAUAAAAGACUAAUAAACUUACUGAAUCAGAAA